RNAcentral lists this ribosomal RNA (433 nucleotides) under uncultured bacterium. RNAcentral describes it as "partial 16S ribosomal RNA". It matches the Rfam family "Bacterial small subunit ribosomal RNA", at positions 29 to 507 of the family's 1533-position model. The record is from RNAcentral.
AACGAACGCUGGCGGCAGGCCUAACACAUGCAAGUCGAGCGAGGACUUCGGUCCUAGCGGCGGACGGGUGAGUAACGCGUGGGAACGUGCCCUUUGCUUCGGAAUAGCCCUGGGAAACUGGGAGUAAUACCGGAUGAGCCCUUUGGGGGAAAGAUUUAUCGGCGAAGGAUCGGCCCGCGUUGGAUUAGGUAGUUGGUGGGGUAAUGGCCUACCAAGCCGACGAUCCAUAGCUGGUUUGGGAGGAUGAUCAGCCACACUGGGACUGAGACACGGCCGAGACUCCUACGGGAGGCAGCAGUGGGGAAUCUUAGACAAUGGGGGAAACCCUGAUCUAGCCAUGCCGCGUGAGCGAUGAAGGCCUUAGGGUUGUAAAGCUCUUUCAGCUGGGAAGAUAAUGACGGUACCAGCAGAAGAAGCCCCGGCUAACUCCGUG